Molecule: unclassified non-coding RNA, 500 nt
Filed under: uncultured Glomus
Lineage: Eukaryota; Fungi; Glomeromycota; Glomeromycetes; Glomerales; Glomeraceae
Description: SSU rRNA
Rfam family: Eukaryotic small subunit ribosomal RNA
Source: RNAcentral
CCAAUAGCGUAUAUUAAAGUUGUUGCAGUUAAAAAGCUCGUAGUUGGAUUUCGGGGUCAGUAGGUCGGUCGUGCCACCGGUAUGUACUGGCCUCACUGAUUCCUCCUUCUUGUAGAACCGUAAUGCCAUUACGUUGGUGUUGCGGGGAAACAGGACUGUUACUUUGAAAAAAUUAGAGUGUUUAAAGCAAGCUAACGCUUGAAUACAUUAGCAUGGAAUAAUGAAAUAGGACGAACGAUCCUAUUUUGUUGGUUUCUAGGAUUGACGUAAUGAUUAAUAGGGAUAGUUGGGGGCAUUAGUAUUCAAUUGUCAGAGGUGAAAUUCUUGGAUUUAUUGAAGACUAACUACUGCGAAAGCAUUUGCCAAGGAUGUUUUCAUUAAUCAAGAACGAAAGUUAGGGGAUCGAAGACGAUCAGAUACCGUCGUAGUCUUAACCAUAAACUAUGCCGACUAGGGAUCGGAUGAUGUUAAUUUUAUAAUGACUCAUUCGGCGCCUUACG